UACGGAGGGUGCAAGCGUUGUUCGGAAUCAUUGGGCGUAAAGCGCGUGUAGGCGGCUAGGCAAGUCGGUUGUGAAAGCCCGGGGCCCAACCCCGGAACUGCAUCUGAAACUGCCUGGCUAGAGUCCCGGAGAGGAAGGCAGAAUUCCCGGUGUAGGGGUGAAAUCCGUAGAUAUCGGGAGGAAUACCAGCGGCGAAGGCGGCCUUCUGGACGGUGACUGACGCUGAGACGCGAAAGCGUGGGGAUCAAACGGG
This 253-nucleotide ribosomal RNA is filed under the name uncultured bacterium. RNAcentral describes it as "partial 16S ribosomal RNA". It matches the Rfam family "Bacterial small subunit ribosomal RNA", at positions 524 to 776 of the family's 1533-position model. The record is from RNAcentral.